Molecule: non-coding RNA, 27 nt
Filed under: Mus musculus (house mouse)
Lineage: Eukaryota; Metazoa; Chordata; Mammalia; Rodentia; Muridae
Source: RNAcentral
UGCUGUGGAAUUACGGGUGGGUUGUGG